GCCCGGGUGGCGAAAUUGGUAGACGCAAGGGACUUAAAAUCCCUCGGAGGCAACUCCGUGCCGGUUCGAGUCCGGCCCCGGGCACCA
Molecule: transfer RNA, 87 nt
Filed under: Gammaproteobacteria bacterium
Lineage: Bacteria; Pseudomonadati; Pseudomonadota; Gammaproteobacteria
Also listed under: 1 other name
Description: tRNA-Leu
Rfam family: tRNA
About the family: Transfer RNA (tRNA) molecules are approximately 80 nucleotides in length. Their secondary structure includes four short double-helical elements and three loops (D, anti-codon, and T loops).
Source: RNAcentral